CCCUACGGGGGGCAGCAGUCGGGAAUAUUGCGCAAUGGAGGAAACUCUGACGCAGUGACGCCGCGUAUGGGAAGAAGGUUUUCUGGUUGUAAAGAUCUGUCGACAGGGACGAAUAAGCCAUGCGAAUAGUUUGGUGUAUGACGGUACCUGUUUAGAAAGCUCCGGCUAACUACGUGCCAGCAGCCGCGGUAAUACGUAGGGAGCAAGCGUUGUCCGGAAUUACUGGGCGUAAAGGGCGCGUAGGUGGGUGCUUAAGUCAGGUGUGAAAACUCUGGGCUCAACCUGGAGACUGCACUUGAAACUGG
This 305-nucleotide ribosomal RNA is filed under the name uncultured bacterium. RNAcentral's name for it is "bacterial SSU rRNA". It matches the Rfam family "Bacterial small subunit ribosomal RNA", at positions 337 to 636 of the family's 1533-position model. The record is from RNAcentral.